This 358-nucleotide long non-coding RNA is filed under the name Musa acuminata (dwarf banana). RNAcentral's name for it is "long non-coding RNA (MACU_LNC011233)". The record is from RNAcentral. Lineage: Eukaryota; Viridiplantae; Streptophyta; Magnoliopsida; Zingiberales; Musaceae.
GUAGCUCACCACCAAGUUUAAAAUCGCAAUGGGAUACAGAAAGUUCACCACCCAACGGAAAUUAAACGAGGAUACAGAACUAGAAAAUAAAAGACUCACCACUCAAGGACGCAUCCAAGAGAUACAGAGUUUAAGGGGUUCUCUAAGAGCUUCUGCCCAGAUAUCAUCAGUUUCUCCAGUCCUUUCUAAGUCCUAAACACCAAAAUAAAUACUAGUGCAUGAAACAACCCUUCAUGCAUAGGAAAUUUCGAAAUUAAGUGUUUACAGCUUCUAACCAACUAUUUUAAUGCACUCAUUGGUAAUGAAGAAAUGUUCACAGCUGCCAACCAACUCCUUUAAUGCAUUCCUUUGUCUUGAA